UUUCUACUAACUUACAAGCAUAAGUUGCAACAUGUGAGGGGGGGAGAAAUUUUUGGAAAAUUGACCCUCUUCAAGCAAUGGAGCCACCAGAGUUUGUCAAGCUUGCUAGCAGGCCUAAAACUAAGAGAGUUAGACAGAAAGAUGAAGCACUUAAGAGGCAAGGUGAGUGGGCUGUGUCAAGAAAAGGUAGAAUAAUGACAUGUAGCAAUUGUGGAAAGCCAAAUCAUAACGUUAGAGGUUGCGACAAGUCAAAAAUGAAAAAAUGUUUGCUACGGAAAAGGUAAAGAAAAAGCAGCGUAAAAUAAAUUUAGUUGAUGAGGGAGAACCUUCUCAAACUUAAGAGAGCAUCAACCUAACAACCCCUCAAGAAACACAAAAUAGUCAAAGUAGCAUGUUAUGUGACUAUGAACAUGAUGAAGAUCCUUGUCUACAUCCUACAGUUAUUUCAGAGACUCUUACUAGGCUUCAAAUGAGACAACAUAUAUCAACAGGGACAAGGGUAAUAAGCUUCAAAGGUGACCACAAUGGUAUAAGUGAUCCAACAAAUCUUCCAAUACAACCAAAAAGCUUAACUUGAAAAGGUAAAGAUGCAAUUACGUUCAAUCAACUGAAAGUUCAAAGUCAAGAAAGAAUUGCAAAGUUGAAGCCAAAAAAGGGACAAUAUCAGUUUGGUUAAUUUUUGUUAAGUUUGUGGACAAUUUAAUUUGAUGAUGUAACUAUUGUUUAAACAGUACUUUUGGGAAAAUAGCUUUUGCAAAGUUGGAAAUAUCGCAUCAAAACUUAUGUUGUAUAAGUUUUGGGGUUAUAUUGUGACAUCCAGACGAUAUUUGAUGAUUUCA
Molecule: long non-coding RNA, 839 nt
Organism: Solanum tuberosum (potato)
Lineage: Eukaryota; Viridiplantae; Streptophyta; Magnoliopsida; Solanales; Solanaceae
Exons: 2
Source: RefSeq, a predicted model, not a curated record